This 1297-nucleotide long non-coding RNA is filed under the name Hordeum vulgare. RNAcentral describes it as "long non-coding RNA (HVUL_LNC006277)". The record is from RNAcentral. Lineage: Eukaryota; Viridiplantae; Streptophyta; Magnoliopsida; Poales; Poaceae.
UUGUGAGUAGUCUAACACGAAUCUAAGCCGUUAGCAUCCACCAAGCCUCGCCUUCAUAGUGUUGCCGGCCAUGGUUGCCUCCAUCUCAUGUCCCUCCUCCUCCCCUCUCUACGUCUCCCUAAAACUCCCACUGAAGGCCAUCCCUCGAGCCCGCCUCCUCCCCUCUCUACGUCUCCCUAAAACUCCCACUGAAGGCCAUCCCUCGAGCCCGCCUCUUGGGUGUUUCACUGGUGAAGCGCUUUACUUAUCCACAAUCGCCUACCUAUCUUGAUAAAUUACAGGUUCAAUGGUAAGGAAAAACAGGGAAACACAUUUCCUAUCUCUGGCCACUCACAGUCACUAUACACCCAUCUCAUCAAAAACUGUAGUAGAAGGACUGAAUGGAUCUGGAAAGCAUGGUUAAGCUAGGACUCAUUAGUAAGUUGUUUUCAUCAACUUAAAGCGCUACUAUUAAUUUAAGCCGCAUGUGCAAUCACACUCAAUUGUAAACAAUUAUCUACUUAUUGCAUCUGCAUGGGCUACCCUAAACCUACAUAUGUAUUUUCAUUGUUGCGAAGAUGUUAUGGCAUGGACUAAACAAUGAUUUGCUUUCUAAACCACUUGUUUAUUGCACUAGCCAUGCAGUAUAUAUGGACUAAACAGUUUUCAUGCAAAGUGUAAUGGAGUGUGUGCUCGUCAUGGACAAGGUCUAUUGAGAGUUCUGAUAUUGAAAGGGGAAAAUCGAUGUUUUACAUUAUGAUGAUGUUGGUUGAUCUACAAGCUUACACGGGAUCUGAGAAUAACGUUAUGGGAACUGGCCCUCGACACAACUAAAGCGCCCAUAUUGAGGGCACCCAAAACCAAGUACAUACUAUGCAUGUUUGAUGGGUAAUAAGAUGAACAAUAAAUUGAUUUUAAGGUGAGGCAUCCACUCCUUUGACAAAGAUGUUGAUUCGAAAUGGUCUGAACUAAAUGGACUUAGUACUUACGUUAACAUCUUGACUCGAUCUAGAAAAACAUGUAAACAAGGCCUAGAGUACAUUACUAUAUGUGCUUGGUAUUCUCAGUGGCCGGGGUGGGAUGCCGACGGCCUCUUGUACUCUCCCUAGCUCGCUCCACCACGAACAAUACAACCAUGACAGCGAAGCCCACAUAUCUUUACCUAGUUAAUGCUUUGUUCACUUCCUUUUAUAUACAUCCAUUUCCCUGCUUCAUUUGAGCAAGCAAAAGAUCCCGCCCAUCUUACUUAUCCAUAUGUUAUGCUUUGGUAUCACAUAUCUAUAUUUGCAUUUGUAUAUGUCAAUGAGGAUGGAAAAUC